Podarcis lilfordi (Lilford's wall lizard) is the source of this 72-nucleotide non-coding RNA. The record is from the annotation of a GenBank genome assembly. Lineage: Eukaryota; Metazoa; Chordata; Lepidosauria; Squamata; Lacertidae.
GCCAGGGUGGAUAAGUGGUCAGAAUGUCACACUAGAACUGAGAAAAUCAAGGUUCAAAUCCCUGCUCAGACA